CAGAAGGGGUCCAGGUGCAAACCCCACUGUUUGUCUGUUUUCCUAUUUUGCCACCUUCUCAGGACACCCUUGCAGAUGGCUGAGCCCCUAGAGAUCCAGAGACCACCGUGGGGGAACACUGAAUGGCCAGCUUUCUGACAACAGACCCAGGUCACAGCACUUUGCAGCAUGACAGCAGCAGGAACCCAGGACAAAGGCCCUUUGUCGUGGUCCUCCCUGGGCCUCAGGGACUGGCUGGAGCCCCCACCUCCUUUAUCCUGUCCUGGCAGAAGAGCAGCAUCUUGAAAUGUGCCCUUCAGGCCUCUCUCCUAAGCUCCACAAUAUGGGAAGAUGCCAACUUGGGACAUUUGGACAGAAACAGAAGCGAGUGUGGAGACAGUUGGUGGACUGUGUUGCAGAAAGAUCUGAAAACAAGGCCAGAGGAAUGCCACACUGCAGAACCGAGCAGGCAGACCAGUCCCCAGAGGAGACGGGGAAGGUGGGGCCACGGGGGGCAGGAGGGAAUGCAAGGAAGGUUGGUUCUCCAGCCAGAGAAGAGAGCUUCCGAGAAAGGCGAGCGCCCUGGUGUUGGUGCUGCCGAGAUGGGCUGGGCCAGAGUGGCUCCGACCAGCGCACGAAGCCAGUCUGGACAUUUCCCAGCUGUAUGUUCAGUUGUGUCGCAUUGCCAGCUUGAAACCAGCCAUGAUGGGAGAAUUGACAGCAUGGAAAUUGGCAAACCUUGCACUUGGUCCUCCCCGCUGUGCUCCAGAGCCAAUUGCUAA
Molecule: long non-coding RNA, 761 nt
Filed under: Capra hircus (goat)
Lineage: Eukaryota; Metazoa; Chordata; Mammalia; Artiodactyla; Bovidae
Description: lncRNA (ENSCHIG00000007076.1)
Source: RNAcentral